RNAcentral lists this unclassified non-coding RNA (225 nucleotides) under Hevea brasiliensis (rubber tree). Lineage: Eukaryota; Viridiplantae; Streptophyta; Magnoliopsida; Malpighiales; Euphorbiaceae. The record is from RNAcentral.
AUCCAAGGCCCCAGUUCCAGUCGUUUUGCAAGUGUUUGACUCAAUCUGAUAUAAAAAGCAAUUGGGGACUGUCUGUGCCCCUGAAAGAUGCUGUCAAAUGCUUUCCUCCCUUGGACAUGCGACAAGAAAAACCAUGCCAAGAACUGAUAGCAAAGGAUCUUAAAGGAAAUGAAUGGCGCUUUAAACAUGCACACCAAGGCCAACCACGGAGGCAUUCACUCACAA